Mastomys coucha (southern multimammate mouse) is the source of this 1624-nucleotide long non-coding RNA. RefSeq lists it as uncharacterized. The transcript has 3 exons. NCBI's taxonomy places the organism in Eukaryota, Metazoa, Chordata, Mammalia, Rodentia, Muridae. The record is from RefSeq and is a predicted model, not a curated record.
UUUGUCCUGUCUUAAUGAGUGAAUUUGGGUCUUCUGUCUUGUGUUUUUGUCCUAAGUGGUGUUACACGUGGUCAACAUGGUGACUGGAGGCUUGGUGCCCGCCCGCAGCAUGGGAUCGUGGGCGCUUGGCAUCCUGCCCUGACCAAGCUCAGCAAAUAGCGGAGGUUUCCUUUGUUCCGUGCUCACAGCAGGCCGCAGACAAGCCCAGAGUCGGGUCAUGCAGUGACUCUGUGGGGGUUGACCCAGGCCAGUAACAUCAGCUCCCUGGGUGGGAAGCUAUGGUGGCCGAGAAAGGCCCCGACUUUGUCUCCCUCUUCCGGGUGAAUCCAUCCUGGCCCAAGGGCUGUGCCACCUGCACCGAGAACAGGGACCCGAGCAGGGAAAGGCAGUUGAGCAGGGAAAGGCAGUUGCUGGUGGGCAGGCACCAAGUAACGGCAGGUACACACGCAGUGGCCUUAUCCAGGGAAUUUGGUUGCUGUCAAUCUAGAUGGGCCAGGACAGCUCGGUCAGUGACAGGGCAAAUGUGGCUGCCCACGUGUCUCAUCCUCCACUCCCGGCUGGCACAGCCUCAUUGCCUCUGGACAGAGCCUGGAGACCCCAGUUCGGCCAGAUAAGUUGGCUUUGGCCAGGUAUGACACUGGCUUUAUUACUCAUGUACUAGCGAGGAUAUUAAAGACAACGGUAGCAAGAGAACAUGAGUAAAUAAUAAUUUACAACCAGAAAAGAGAUAAUUCCAACGAUAAGCUAAAGUACAGCAUAUGGGUCGGAGUCAUCAUGUUCUCCUGAUACCUACCAAAAACAGGACACAUCCACCCUGGAUAGAAUUGGAUGGAAGAGAAUAAGAAGAGCUUGUAAGAUGAAGUUUAAAGAAUGAAAGAGCUGACAAAUGAAAGAAUUCGAAAAAUGAAGAGAGCUGAGCAAAAGCAAGGGGUUAAUUUAGGCUAAGUGAACACAUAGAAACAUGAUAGACGUGAGGCUAGAGCAUCACAUUUAAGAAAUUUGAUGUGGAAAAUGAAGAUAGGGGAGGCAGAGUCAAUGAAGUAUAUAGUCCAUGUCCCAGUUCCUACAAUCUGACUAAGAGUGAAGUCAACAUUUCUCUACUAUCUCAGGAUAUUGAAUGCUGCCUGCCUGUUGCCAUCGAGGAAGAGCAUUGUUUACUUCAUCCACCAAUUCAAAUGUGAUUGUCUUCCAGAAAUACCCUGUAUACCACAAGAACUGUUUCAGUAGCUACCCAGGUACCCUUUAAUUUACCCAUACAGACACAUAGUAAUAUAUACUUAAAUCCCCUCCAGGUUUUUUCUAAGAUUAAUUUAUUUUCUUUACACUGAAUUAUAUUCUAUUAUGUAAAAAGGCUGCAUUCUAUUUAUUCUCCUAGUGAAGGACAUAUUCUUGUUUGCAAUUUGAAUUAAGAAUAAAGCUGCUAUAAACAGCCAUGCACAAUUUUUUGUGUAAACAUAACUUUUCAAUUCUUUUUGUGUAAAUACUACAAAGUACAAUUAUUGAGGUAUAGAGCAAAGGGUGUGUUUAGUUUUACAAGAAACUGCCAAAUUGUCUUUCAAAAUAGAUGUGCCAUUUUUCACAUUUUUCAAUAAAGAAUUGUUUUAUUGUACAUUCUUAUAUAUAA